RNAcentral lists this ribosomal RNA (253 nucleotides) under uncultured bacterium. RNAcentral describes it as "partial 16S ribosomal RNA". It matches the Rfam family "Bacterial small subunit ribosomal RNA", at positions 524 to 776 of the family's 1533-position model. The record is from RNAcentral.
CACGUAGGUGGCAAGCGUUGUCCGGAAUUAUUGGGCGUAAAGCGUGCGCAGGCGGUUUUGUAAGUCUGUCGUGAAAUCCCCGGGCUCAACCUGGGAAUUGCGAUGGAGACUGCAAGGCUAGAAUCUGGCAGAGGGGGGUAGAAUUCCACGUGUAGCAGUGAAAUGCGUAGAGAUGUGGAGGAACACCGAUGGCGAAGGCAGCCCCCUGGGUCAAGAUUGACGCUCAUGCACGAAAGCGUGGGGAGCAAACAGG